GAGUAACACGUAGGUAAUCUGCCUUCAGGACUGACACAACUCGUCGAAAGACGGGCUAAUAUCAGAUAAUGCAGCGGCUCCGCAUGGAGACAGUUGUUAAAGUACAAGCGCCUGAAGAUGAGCCUGCGGUCCAUUAGCUAGUUGGUAGAGUAACAGCCUACCAAGGCAACGAUGGAUAGCUGGGUCCUGAGAGGAUGAUCAGCCACACUGGAACUGAGACACGGUCCAGACUCCUACGGGAGGCAGCAGUAAGGAAUAUUGCUCAAUGGCCGAAAGGCUGAAGCAGCAACGCCGCGUGAAGGAUGAAUGGCCUUUGGCCUGUAAACUUCUGUAAAAAGGGAAAAACAGUCAGGUAUAUCCUGAUUUGAUUGUACCUUUGAAGUAAGCCCCGGCUAACUACGUG
RNAcentral lists this ribosomal RNA (403 nucleotides) under uncultured bacterium. Its description in RNAcentral is "bacterial SSU rRNA". It matches the Rfam family "Bacterial small subunit ribosomal RNA", at positions 108 to 507 of the family's 1533-position model. The record is from RNAcentral.